RNAcentral lists this ribosomal RNA (535 nucleotides) under uncultured bacterium. RNAcentral's name for it is "bacterial SSU rRNA". It matches the Rfam family "Bacterial small subunit ribosomal RNA", at positions 777 to 1314 of the family's 1533-position model. The record is from RNAcentral.
AAUAGAUACCCGGGUAGUCCACGCCGUAAACGAUGGAUACUAGCUGUUCGUCCGCCUCGGCGGAUGAGUGGCUAAGGGAAAGUGAUAAGUAUCCCACCUGGGGAGUACGAACGCAAGUUUGAAACUCAAAGGAAUUGACGGGGGCCCGCACAAGCGGUGGAGCAUGUGGUUUAAUUCGAUGAUACGCGAGGAACCUUACCAAGGCUUAAAUGUAGAUUGACAGGACUGGAAACAGUUUUUUCUUCGGACAAUUUACAAGGUGCUGCAUGGUUGUCGUCAGCUCGUGCCGUGAGGUGUCAGGUUAAGUCCUAUAACGAGCGCAACCCCUGUUGUUAGUUGCCAGCGAGUGAUGUCGGGAACUCUAACAAGACUGCCAGUGUAAACUGUGAGGAAGGUGGGGAUGACGUCAAAUCAUCACGGCCCUUACGCCUUGGGCUACACACGUGCUACAAUGGCCGGUACAGAGAGCAGCCACUGCGCGAGCAGGAGCGAAUCUAUAAAACCGGUCACAGUUCGGAUCGGAGUCUGCAACUCG